CUAUAAUCAAUGCACACUCGCCAACCUGUUUGGAUACGGGUUGGCACAAGCUCAUUCUCGGCAUUCUUCACCACUGUCACUCCGGACUUCUUUGGAACACAUUGCACCGGUGACACCCAACGACUAUCAGAGAUCGGAUAAAUUACUCCACAAUCAAGAAGUUUGAUAAUCUCCUUUUUCACAACUUCCAUCAUUGGAGGGUUGAGACGGCGCUGAGCC
This 219-nucleotide long non-coding RNA is filed under the name Malus domestica (apple). RNAcentral's name for it is "long non-coding RNA (MDOM_LNC007644)". The record is from RNAcentral. Lineage: Eukaryota; Viridiplantae; Streptophyta; Magnoliopsida; Rosales; Rosaceae.